UACGUAGGGUGCAAGCGUUGUCCGGAAUUAUUGGGCGUAAAGAGCUCGUAGGCGGUUUGUCACGUCGGAUGUGAAAACCUGAGGCUCAACCUCAGGCCUGCAUUCGAUACGGGCAGACUAGAGUACUGUAGGGGAGACUGGAAUUCCUGGUGUAGCAGUGAAAUGCGCAGAUAUCAGGAGGAACACCGGUGGCGAAGGCGGGUCUCUGGGCAGUAACUGACGCUGAGGAGCGAAAGCGUGGGGAGCGAACAGG
This 253-nucleotide ribosomal RNA is filed under the name uncultured bacterium. Its description in RNAcentral is "partial 16S ribosomal RNA". It matches the Rfam family "Bacterial small subunit ribosomal RNA", at positions 524 to 776 of the family's 1533-position model. The record is from RNAcentral.